RNAcentral lists this ribosomal RNA (116 nucleotides) under Candidatus Peregrinibacteria bacterium. The record is from RNAcentral. Lineage: Bacteria; Candidatus Peregrinibacteriota.
CUUGGCAAUUAUUGAGGUUGGGAUACACCUGUUCCCAUCCCGAACACAGUAGUUAAGCCAACCUUCGCCGAUGGUACUGAUCUGGUGAUGAUCGGGAGAGUAGGGCGUUGCCAAGA